This 639-nucleotide ribosomal RNA is filed under the name Pseudomonas sp. EECC-168. RNAcentral describes it as "bacterial SSU rRNA". It matches the Rfam family "Bacterial small subunit ribosomal RNA", at positions 98 to 733 of the family's 1533-position model. Lineage: Bacteria; Pseudomonadati; Pseudomonadota; Gammaproteobacteria; Pseudomonadales; Pseudomonadaceae. The record is from RNAcentral.
GCGGACGGGUGAGUAAUGCCUAGGAAUCUGCCUGGUAGUGGGGGAUAACGUCCGGAAACGGACGCUAAUACCGCAUACGUCCUACGGGAGAAAGCAGGGGACCUUCGGGCCUUGCGCUAUCAGAUGAGCCUAGGUCGGAUUAGCUAGUUGGUGAGGUAAUGGCUCACCAAGGCGACGAUCCGUAACUGGUCUGAGAGGAUGAUCAGUCACACUGGAACUGAGACACGGUCCAGACUCCUACGGGAGGCAGCAGUGGGGAAUAUUGGACAAUGGGCGAAAGCCUGAUCCAGCCAUGCCGCGUGUGUGAAGAAGGUCUUCGGAUUGUAAAGCACUUUAAGUUGGGAGGAAGGGCAGUUGCCUAAUACGUAACUGUUUUGACGUUACCGACAGAAUAAGCACCGGCUAACUCUGUGCCAGCAGCCGCGGUAAUACAGAGGGUGCAAGCGUUAAUCGGAAUUACUGGGCGUAAAGCGCGCGUAGGUGGUUUGUUAAGUUGGAUGUGAAAUCCCCGGGCUCAACCUGGGAACUGCAUUCAAAACUGACUGACUAGAGUAUGGUAGAGGGUGGUGGAAUUUCCUGUGUAGCGGUGAAAUGCGUAGAUAUAGGAAGGAACACCAGUGGCGAAGGCGACCACCUGGA